GAUUCCUCUAGUAACUGCGAGUGAAGAGGGAAAAGCUCAAAUUUUAAAUCUGUUAGGUUUACCUAACCGAGUUGUAAUUUGAAGAAGCGUUUUCUGCGAAUUUGGUUAGUCCAAAUCCUUUGGAAUAAGGUAUCAUGGAGGGUGAGAAUCCCGCUCGGUUAACCAAAGCGCUUUACGAUACGCUUUCAAAGAGUCAAGUUGUUCGGGAUUGCAGCUUAAAAUGGGAGGUAAAUUUCUCCUAAGGCUAAAUAUUGGCGAGAGACCGAUAGCGAACAAGUACCGUGAGGGAAAGAUGAAAAGAACUUUGAAAAGAGAGUUAAACAGUACGUGAAAUCGUUGAAAGGGAAACGAUUAAAGUCAGUCGUACCUACGAGUGAUCAACCUACUCGAGUGCGAUUUUGUGGGUAUGUUAGAGCUUAAAAACCUUCAUGCUUACAAAUUGGUGCUCUUUGGGCGUACUUUCUCGUAUGGUAGGUUAACAUCAAUUUCGAUCGUUAUAAAAUGACUGGAGGAAUGUAGCUUCGACCUCGGUUGAAGUGUUAUAGCCUUUGGUAGAUGUAAUGAUUGGGAUUGAGGAUUGCAACGGAUACCCUCUGGGCUAUUCGUCUGAUCUCUGGAAGUUACCUUGGUGUCGAAAGCGUGCUUACGAUAUUAAGGUUGACGGCCAAUAGGUUAGAACGUGAUUAAAUUCGUUAAGGAUGUUGACGUAAUGGCUUUAAACGACCCGUCUUGAAACACGGACCAAGGAGUCUAACAUAUGUGCGAGUGUU
This 770-nucleotide ribosomal RNA is filed under the name Oehlia diaphana. RNAcentral describes it as "partial large subunit ribosomal RNA". It matches the Rfam family "Eukaryotic large subunit ribosomal RNA", at positions 73 to 694 of the family's 3401-position model. Lineage: Eukaryota; Fungi; Glomeromycota; Glomeromycetes; Glomerales; Glomeraceae. The record is from RNAcentral.